CGGCGCCACAAGUGGGGAUCACUAUUAUUGGGCCUAAAGCGUCCGUAGCCGGUUCAAUAAAUCCUUUGUGAAAUCGUCUUGCUUAACAUGACGGCAUGCAGGGGAGACUGUUGAACUAGAGACCGGAAAGAGUCAGAAGUAUUCAGGGGGGAGCGGUAAAAUGCAAUAAUCCCCUGAAGACUACCUGUGGCGAAGGCGUCUGACCAGGACGGUUCUGACGGUGAGGGACGAAAGCUAGGGGAGCGAUCCGGAUUAGAUACCCGAGUAGUCC
Molecule: ribosomal RNA, 271 nt
Filed under: uncultured archaeon
Lineage: Archaea
Description: partial 16S ribosomal RNA
Rfam family: Archaeal small subunit ribosomal RNA
Source: RNAcentral